GGGAAAAGCAGGCCUUAAAAGAGGGCUACAGGAUACUGGGGUGCUCCCAAUGAUCACAGAACGGCCAGAACUGGCUAGAGUUCUGUUCCCACAAGGUGUCUCAUCUCUGAUGGAUCCUAAGAUGAUUUUGAAAAGAGAGGUUUGACCAGAUGAGGCGGAGGUUGACGAAGAUGAAAUGGAAGACUGCCGUGUCGCAGCCUACCUCAGACAAUACGUUGCCGUGCCUACCUCAGACAAUACGUUUUUCUUUAGAGACAUUGAAAGACCUGGUGGUCUUCUGGACGGGAUAGUCUGUUGGCAGGGGCAAUGCCGACUGUACUUUGAAACUCCCCCUAGGGACAAGAAUGUAUGACACCUUCAAAGAAGCUAUGAAUGCAGCGCUGAAAUAAAGCAAUUAUGGUUUUGGCUUGAUCUAGUGUUGUUUUCUGCAAGUUCAAUGCAGUAUAGUCAACAAUUUCAGUGUUGACAGACGGUGACCAGAGUUCCAGUUGUUCAAUGAAUAAACUAUGCAAUGAGAAA
Molecule: long non-coding RNA, 519 nt
Organism: Alosa alosa (allis shad)
Lineage: Eukaryota; Metazoa; Chordata; Actinopteri; Clupeiformes; Clupeidae
Exons: 3
Source: RefSeq, a predicted model, not a curated record